AUGGCCUCGAUCAAGACUAGCAGCUUGAGGUAGCUGCUGGUUUCAAGGAGAGCCUACAUAAACUCCUUCCUGUGGUCUGUUGAUUUUUCCCAGAGUUACAAAGGGGCUAAUCAUUUCAGUUGGAAGGUACAAAA
Molecule: small nucleolar RNA, 134 nt
Organism: Sebastes umbrosus (honeycomb rockfish)
Lineage: Eukaryota; Metazoa; Chordata; Actinopteri; Perciformes; Sebastidae
Source: RefSeq, a predicted model, not a curated record